GGGCCGGUAGAUCAGCCUGGUAGAUCGUUCGGUUCGCAUCCGAAAGGUCGUGAGUUCGAAUCUCGCCCGGUCCACCA
RNAcentral lists this transfer RNA (77 nucleotides) under Candidatus Thorarchaeota archaeon SMTZ1-83. Its description in RNAcentral is "tRNA-Ala". It matches the Rfam family "tRNA". Rfam says of the family: Transfer RNA (tRNA) molecules are approximately 80 nucleotides in length. Their secondary structure includes four short double-helical elements and three loops (D, anti-codon, and T loops). Further hydrogen bonds mediate the characteristic L-shaped molecular structure. tRNAs have two regions of fundamental functional importance: the anti-codon, which is responsible for specific mRNA codon recognition, and the 3' end, to which the tRNAs corresponding amino acid is attached (by aminoacyl-tRNA synthetases). tRNAs cope with the degeneracy of the genetic code in two manners: having more than one tRNA (with a specific anti-codon) for a particular amino acid; and 'wobble' base-pairing, i.e. permitting non-standard base-pairing at the 3rd anti-codon position. The record is from RNAcentral. Lineage: Archaea; Promethearchaeati; Candidatus Thorarchaeota. RNAcentral also lists the same sequence under 1 other name.